Molecule: ribosomal RNA, 301 nt
Filed under: uncultured bacterium
Lineage: Bacteria
Description: partial 16S ribosomal RNA
Rfam family: Bacterial small subunit ribosomal RNA
Source: RNAcentral
CAGCCGCCGCGGGAAUACGUAGGGUGCAUGCGUUGUCCGGAUUUAUUGGGCGUAAAGAGCUCGUAGGCGGUUUGUCGCGUCGGAUGUGAAAACCCAGGGCUCAACCCUGGGCCUGCAUUCGAUACGGGCAGACUAGAGUAUGGCAGGGGAGACUGGAAUUCCUGGUGUAGCGGUGAAAUGCGCAGAUAUCAGGAGGAACACCGGUGGCGAAGGCGGGUCUCUGGGCCAAAACUGACGCUGAGGAGCGAAAGCGUGGGGAGCAAACAGGGUUAGAUACCCGUGUAGUCCCUGUCUCUUAUAC